This 429-nucleotide ribosomal RNA is filed under the name Actinomycetes bacterium. Its description in RNAcentral is "Actinobacteria bacterium partial 16S ribosomal RNA". It matches the Rfam family "Bacterial small subunit ribosomal RNA", at positions 355 to 776 of the family's 1533-position model. Lineage: Bacteria; Bacillati; Actinomycetota; Actinomycetes. The record is from RNAcentral.
UAGGGAAUCUUCCGCAAUGGGCGAAAGCCUGACGGAGCAACGCCGCGUGAGUGAUGAAGGUCUUCGGAUCGUAAAACUCUGUUAUUAGGGAAGAACAAAUGUGUAAGUAACUAUGCACGUCUUGACGGUACCUAAUCAGAAAGCCACGGCUAACUACGUGCCAGCAGCCGCGGUAAUACGUAGGUGGCAAGCGUUAUCCGGAAUUAUUGGGCGUAAAGCGCGCGUAGGCGGUUUUUUAAGUCUGAUGUGAAAGCCCACGGCUCAACCGUGGAGGGUCAUUGGAAACUGGAAAACUUGAGUGCAGAAGAGAAAAGUGGAAUUCCAUGUGUAGCGGUGAAAUGCGCAGAGAUAUGGAGGAACACCAGUGGCAAAGGCGACUUUCUGGUCUGUAACUGACGCUGAUGUGCGAAAGCGUGGGGAUCAAACAGG